GCUUCCCAUGGGUUUCAGAUGUGGUUCAAGGGUACCUCACACGUGGGUCCGGCACGGAUCAGUUGUGGCUCACACACGGUUCAAAUGGAAUUCAGGCAUGGCUGACACAUGACUUGUGUGCGUCACAAAUGCUACAGGAGACUUUCACACAUGAUUGAGGCAUGGCACACACAUUGUUCAGAUGCAGCUCAGCGAAGGCUCACACGUGAUGCAGGCAUGAAACAGAAGUGGGUCGCAUGUGGCUGACACACGACUCAGGCGUUUGUCACACAUGGCUCCCACAUGGCUCCCACAUGGCUGAGGUGUGGCUCAUGCAUGACUGUGGUGCUGCUCUGGCGUGGCUCACGCUUGUUGUUAGCAUGGUUGGCAAGUGGUUCAGGCCUGGCUGGCAGGUGGCUCGAGCGUGGCUGCCACAUGCUUCAUGUGAGGCUGACCUGUGGUUCAAGUGUCUCUGGCACUUGGUUCAGGCCUGGAUGGCAUGUGACUUUGGCACGGCUGAGAAGUGACUCAGGCGUGGCUCACACGUUAUUCAGGCGAGGCUGACACAUGACACAGGCGAGGUGGCCAAAGGACACAGGAGUGCCUGACACGUCACGCAGGUGUGGUUCACACAUGGUUCAUGCAUGGCCUUCGUGUGUUUCAGGCGUGGCUGGUGCACGGUUCACGCAUGGGUGGCAGGUGGUUCAGGUGAGGCUGACAUGUGACUCAGGCAUGUGUGAAACAUGACUCUGGUGAGGCUGACACAUAUCUCAGGGGUGGCUGACACAUGACUCAGUCAUGUUUCACGUGUGGCUCCCAUGUGCCUCAUGUGUGGUUCAAGCAUUGAACAUGUGUGCUUCACAAGUGCUUGACAUGUGGUUCGAGUGUGUCACAUGUGGUUCAGUCAUGGUUCAGGGAGGCUCACACGUGGUUCAGGUAGAACUCAGGUGUGGCUCAAACAUGACUCACGUGGAGGUCU
This 958-nucleotide long non-coding RNA is filed under the name Equus caballus (horse). RNAcentral's name for it is "lncRNA (ENSECAG00000044452.1)". The record is from RNAcentral. Lineage: Eukaryota; Metazoa; Chordata; Mammalia; Perissodactyla; Equidae.